GUCCGGGGCUGCUAUCAAGAACCAAACCUCUCUCAGGGGGUAGACAAAAGCUCGGAUAGCAUGUGAAAUACUUGCCAUAGCCAUGCCUGGGAGGAGGCAAGGGUAGCUACAGGGCAUGCAACUACCUCCUAAAGAGACCAAAGUUCUCCGCUACCAGCCCGGGAGGAAUCUGGGGCUGCUAUCCAGAACCAAACCUCUCUCAGGAGGUAGACAAAAGCCAUAAACUUAUCCAAAACAUGUUACAAAGGCAUGCUCGCGAGGACGCAAGGGGAGCGACCAGGCACGCACCUACCUUCAAAAGGGACAAGAGCUCUCCAGUACCUGCUGUGGACGAAUCUGGGACUACUACCCAGACAAAGGGAACUGGGCACUCGUCAAUACACCUGCCCUGGAGCGCUUCUGGAUGCUGCAUGAGUUUCUCUCUCCCUGCAAUUCGGUAAAGAACACGCUGCAAAA
Molecule: long non-coding RNA, 456 nt
Organism: Cygnus olor (mute swan)
Lineage: Eukaryota; Metazoa; Chordata; Aves; Anseriformes; Anatidae
Exons: 2
Source: RefSeq, a predicted model, not a curated record